GCGCUGUUAGCUCAGUUGGCAGAGCAGCUCCCUUUUAAGGAGAAGGUCACUGGUUCGAGCCCAGUACAGCGCACCA
Molecule: transfer RNA, 76 nt
Filed under: Patescibacteria group bacterium
Lineage: Bacteria
Description: tRNA-Lys
Rfam family: tRNA
About the family: Transfer RNA (tRNA) molecules are approximately 80 nucleotides in length. Their secondary structure includes four short double-helical elements and three loops (D, anti-codon, and T loops).
Source: RNAcentral